AUUGAACGCUGGCGGAAUGCUUUACACAUGCAAGUCGAGCGGCAGCGCGGGGCAACCUGGCGGCGAGCGGCGAACGGGUGAGUAAUACAUCGGAACGUACCCUGUUGUGGGGGAUAACGAAUCGAAAGAUUCGCUAAUACCGCAUACGACCUGAGGGUGAAAGUGGGGGAUCGCAAGACCUCACGCGAUAGGAGCGGCCGAUGUCGGAUUAGCUAGUUGGUGGGGUAAAGGCUCACCAAGGCGACGAUCCGUAGCGGGUCUGAGAGGACGGCCCGCCACACUGGAACUGAGACACGGUCCAGACUCCUACGGAGGCAGCAGUGGGGAAUUUUGGACAAUGGGGGCAACCCUGAUCCAGCCAUUCCGCGUGAGUGAAGAAGGCCUUCGGGUUGUAAAGCUCUUUCGGCAGGAACGAAACGGUCCUAGUUAAUACCUGGGGCUAAUGACGGUACCUGAAGAAGAAGCACCGGCUAACUACGUGCCAGCCGCCGCUGUAA
Molecule: ribosomal RNA, 497 nt
Filed under: uncultured bacterium
Lineage: Bacteria
Description: partial 16S ribosomal RNA
Rfam family: Bacterial small subunit ribosomal RNA
Source: RNAcentral